UCUACGGGUGGCAGCAGUGGGGAAUAUUGCACAAUGGGCGAAAGCCUGAUGCAGCAACGCCGCGUGAGCGAUGAAGGCCUUCGGGUCGUAAAGCUCUGUCCUCAAGGAAGAUAAUGACGUUACUUGAGGAGGAAGCCCCGGCUAACUACGUGACAGCAGCCGCGGUAAUACGUAGGGGGCUGGCGUUCUCCGGAACUACUGGGCGUAAAGGGUGCGAAGGUGGUUUCUUAAGUCAGAGGGGAAAGGCUACGGCUAAACCGUAGUAAGCCUUUGAAACUGGGGCACUUGAGUGCAGGAGAGGGGGGUGGAAUUCCUAGUGUAGCGGUGAAAUGCGUAGAGAUUAGGAGGAACACCAGUUGCGAAGGCGGCUCCCUGGACUGUAACUGACACUGAGGCACGAAAGCGUGGGGAGCAAACAGGAUUAGAUACCCCAGUAGUC
RNAcentral lists this ribosomal RNA (439 nucleotides) under uncultured bacterium. Its description in RNAcentral is "partial 16S ribosomal RNA". It matches the Rfam family "Bacterial small subunit ribosomal RNA", at positions 338 to 795 of the family's 1533-position model. The record is from RNAcentral.